GGCUGAGAGAUCAGCUGUUCCCUUCGGGGACAGAAUGACAGGUGGUGCAUGGUUGUCGUCAGCUCGUGUCGUGAGGUGUUGGGUUAAGUCCCGCAACGAGCGCAACCCUUAUGAUCAGUUGCCAGCAUUCAGUUGGGCACUCUGGUCAGACUGCCGGUGACAAACCGGAGGAAGGCGGGGAUGACGUCAAAUCAUCAUGCCCCUUAUGACCUGGGCUACACACGUGCUACAAUGGGUGGUACAACGAGCAGCGAGACCGCGAGGUCAAGCGAAUCUCUAAAAACCAUCCUCAGUUCGGAUUGCAGGCUGCAACUCGCCUGCAUGAAGCUGGAAUCGCUAGUAAUCGCGGAUCAGCACGCCGCGGUGAAUACGUUCCCGGGUCUUGUACACACCGA
This 395-nucleotide ribosomal RNA is filed under the name uncultured bacterium. Its description in RNAcentral is "bacterial SSU rRNA". It matches the Rfam family "Bacterial small subunit ribosomal RNA", at positions 997 to 1393 of the family's 1533-position model. The record is from RNAcentral.